AUAAUGGUCUUAAUGGCCAAUAUAUUCUAGCGGCGGACGGGUGAGUAACGCGUGGGUAACCUGCCCUAUACACUGGGAUAACAUCGAGAAAUCGGUGCUAAUACCGGAUAAGCUAACAAUAAGGCAUCUUAAAGUUAGAAAAACUGAGGUGGUAUAGGAGGGGCCUGCGUCUGAUUAGCUAGUUGGUGAGGUAAUAGCUCACCAAGGCAACGAUCAGUAGCCGACCUGAGAGGGUGAUCGGCCACAUUGGAACUGAGAUACGGUCCAAACUCCUACGGGAGGCAGCAGUGGGGAAUAUUGCACAAUGGGGGGAACCCUGAUGCAGCAACGCCGCGUGAAGGAAGAAGUAUUUCGGUAUGUAAACUUCUAUCGACAGGGAAGAAAAAAAUGACGGUACCUGAAUAAGAAGCACCGGCUAAAUACGUGCCAGCAGCCGCGGUAAUACGUAUGGUGCAAGCGUUAUCCGGAUUUACUGGGUGUAAAGGGUGAGUAGGCGGUUAGGUAAGUCAUAUGUGAAAUUCUGGGGCUCAACCCCAGAGCUGCAUAAGAAACUAUUUAACUAGAGUACUAGGAGAGGUAAGCGGAAUUCCUAGUGUAGCGGUGAAAUGCGUAGAUAUUAGGAAGAACACCGGUGGCGAAGGCGGCUUACUGGACUGAAACUGACGCUGAGUCACGAAAGCGUGGGGAGCGAACAGGAUUAGAUACCCUGGUAGUCCACGCUGUAAACGAUGAGUGCUAGGUGUUGGGGAGAGAUUCUCGGUGCCGUAGCA
RNAcentral lists this ribosomal RNA (770 nucleotides) under uncultured bacterium. Its description in RNAcentral is "SSU rRNA". It matches the Rfam family "Bacterial small subunit ribosomal RNA", at positions 70 to 853 of the family's 1533-position model. The record is from RNAcentral.